RNAcentral lists this ribosomal RNA (562 nucleotides) under uncultured marine crenarchaeote. RNAcentral's name for it is "bacterial SSU rRNA". It matches the Rfam family "Archaeal small subunit ribosomal RNA", at positions 1 to 569 of the family's 1478-position model. Lineage: Archaea; Thermoproteati; Thermoproteota. The record is from RNAcentral.
UCCGGUUGAUCCCGCCGGACCUGACUGCUAUCGGAUUGAUACUAAGCCAUGCGAGUCAUUGUAGCAAUACAAGGCAUACGGCUCAGUAACGCGUAGUCAACCUAACCUAUGGACGGGAAUAACCUCGGGAAACUGAGAAUAAUGCCCGAUAGAACAUUAUGCCUGGAAUGGUUUAUGUUCCAAAUGAUUUAUCGCCGUAGGAUGGGACUGCGGCCUAUCAGUUUGUUGGUGAGGUAAUGGCCCACCAAGACUAUUACAGGUACGGGCUCUGAGAGGAGUAGCCCGGAGAUGGGUACUGAGACACGGACCCAGGCCCUAUGGGGCGCAGCAGGCGAGAAAACUUUGCAAUGUGCGAAAGCACGACAAGGUUAAUCCGAGUGGUUUCUGCUAAAGAAACCUUUUGUCAGUCCUAGAAACACUGAUGAAUAAGGGGUGGGCAAGUUCUGGUGUCAGCCGCCGCGGUAAAACCAGCACCUCAAGUGGUCAGGAUGAUUAUUGGGGCCUAAAGCAUCCGUAGCCGGCUCUGUAAGUUUUCGGUUAAAUCUGUACGCUCAACGUACAG